AGAUAAAGCAAGUAAAGCAGAUUUGAUGUGCUCCACACAUUAUUAUGCUGUCGGGAACAAUGAACAGCUACUGCUUUGCCAUCAAACCUUCAAGUAAAGCCAUCUCAACAAAAUAGUCACUCAUUCAUUACCUCUUCUCACUAUCUGCAUUACCCUUUCUUACUUGCAAUUUUCACAACCCUUUCUUCUUUUGGGUUCAACCACUUUCUUUCCAACCAUGCCAGUACUAGAAACCCUUGGUGGUGCUCUUUUUGGUGCUGUCCUUCAGGUGCUGUUUGACAAGCUGGAUUCUCAUCAAGUUUUGGAUUACUUUCUUGGAAGAAAGCUCGAUGGGAGACUGCUGAAAAAGUUGAAGUGGAAGCUGGUGUCUGUCAAUGCUGUUGUUGAUGAUGCAGAACAAAAGCAGUUCACUGAUAAAAAUGUGAAAGAAUGGCUUGAUGACGUCAGAGACGUGUUGCUUAAUACCGAGGAUCUGUUGGAGGAAAUAGACUGCGAAUUCACCAAAACUGAGUUGGAAGCUGAAUCCCAGACCAGUGCUAGCAAGGUAUGCGAUUUUGAAUCAAUGAUCAAAGAUGUCCUUGAUGAACUAGAUUCUCUUUUAAAUUUAAAGGAUACUCUACGUUUGAAAAAUGUUAGUGGUGAUGGGGUUGGAUCAGGAUCGGGUAGUAAAGUGUCACAGAAAUUGUCAUCCACAUCUUUGGUGGUUGAAAGUGUUAUUUAUGGCAGAGAUGAUGACAAAGAUAUGAUCCUUAAUUGGCUGACUUCUGACACUGACAAUCAUAACAAGAUAUCAAUACUUUCGAUUGUGGGAAUGGGUGGGAUGGGUAAGACCACUCUUGCCCAACAUGUAUAUAACAACCCAAGGAUAGAGGAGGCUAAAUUUGACAUCAAAGUCUGGAUCUGUGUUUCGGAUGAUUUUGAUGUUUUGAUGUUAAGCAAAACAAUUCUUAACAAAAUCACUAAAUCCAAAGAUGACAGUGGAGACGACCUAGAAAUGGUUCAUGGAAGAUUGAAAGAAAAGUUGUCGGGGAAUAAAUAUCUUUUCGUUCUGGAUGAUGUUUGGAACGAAGAUCGAGACCAAUGGAAGGCUUUACAAACUCCUCUUAAAUAUGGGGCUAAGGGAAGUAAAAUUCUUGUCACGACUCGCAGUAACAAUGUUGCUUCAACCAUGCAGUCAAACAAAGUACAUGAACUAAAGCAAUUACGAGAAGAUCACAGCUGGCAAGUUUUCGCUCAGCAUGCAUUCCAAGAUGAUUAUCCUAAGUUGAAUGCUGAGCUGAAGGAGAUUGGUAUAAAGAUAAUUGAGAAGUGCCAAGGGUUGCCUCUAGCCUUAGAAACAGUUGGAUGUCUUUUACACAAAAAGCCAUCUAUUUCACAAUGGGAAGGUGUAUUGAAAAGCAAGAUAUGGGAGUUACCAAAAGAAGAAAGUAAAAUCAUCCCUGCUUUAUUGUUGAGCUAUUUCCAUCUUCCUUCUCAUCUGAAGAGAUGUUUCGCUUAUUGUGCCUUAUUCCCCAAAGAUCACAAGUUUUACAAGGAGAGCUUAAUUCAGUUAUGGGUGGCUGAAAAUUUUGUACAAUGCUCUCAACAGAGUAAUCCUCAAGAAGAAAUUGGUGAACAAUACUUCAAUGAUCUAUUAUCAAGGUCCUUCUUUCAACGAUCAAGUAUAGAAAAGUGUUUUUUCAUGCAUGACCUUCUCAAUGAUUUGGCAAAAUAUGUUUGUGGGGACAUCUGUUUCAGGUUACAAGUUGAUAAACCAAAAAGCAUAUCAAAAGUCCGUCAUUUUUCAUUUGUAACUGAAUUUGAUCAAUAUUUUGAUGGGUACGGGAGUUUAUAUCAUGCUCAAAGGCUACGAACAUUUAUGCCCAUGCCUCUACUAUUUAUAAAGUGGGGUGGUAGGAAACUAGUAGAUGAGUUGUUCUCGAAGUUUAAGUUCUUACGCAUCUUAUCUUUGUCUCAAUGUGACCUUAAAGAGAUGCCUGACUCUGUAGGCAAUCUUAAGCAUCUUCGUUCGUUAGACCUUUCCGGUACUUACAUAAAAAAACUACCUGAUUCAACGUGUUUUCUCUGUAACUUGCAAGUCUUGAAGCUGAAUAAUUGUUUCCUUUUGGAGGAGCUACCCUCAAAUUUGCAUAAACUCACCAAUUUGCGUUGUCUUGAAUUUAUGCACACUAAAGUGAGAAAGAUGCCAAUGCAUUUUGGAAAACUGAAGAAUCUUCAGGUGUUGAGUUCGUUUUACGUUGGAAAGGGCAUCGACAACUGCAGUAUUCAACAGCUAGGGGAACUCAAUCUUCAUGGAAGCUUAUCAAUUGAGGAGCUGCAAAAUAUUGUAAAUCCCUUGGAUGCAUUGGCAGCAGAUUUGAAAAAUAAAACUCAUCUUCUGGAUCUAAAGUUAGGAUGGAAUCGGGGCCGGAACCUUGAUGAUUCAAUAAAAGAAAGACAAGUACUAGAGAAUCUGCAACCUCCAAGACAUUUGGAGAAAUUGUCAAUCCGAUACUACGGUGGUACUCAAUUUCCUAGUUGGUUAUCGGAUAAUUCAUUAUGUAAUGUGGUGUCCUUAACCUUGACGAACUGUAAAUAUUUCCUAUGUUUGCCUCCCCUUGGACUUUUGCCAUUUCUGAAGGAGCUUUCAGUUGAAGGGCUUGAUGGGAUUGUGAGUAUCAAUGCUGAUUUUUACGGGAGUAGCUCUUGUUCAUUUACAUCCUUGGAAUCUUUGAAGUUCGACAAUAUGAAGGAAUGGGAAGAAUGGGAAUGUAAAGGUGUGACAGGUGCUUUUCCACGUCUUCGACGUCUUUUUAUAAUGCGUUGUCCCAAGCUGAAAGGGCACUUGCCAGAGCAACUAUGCCAUUUAAAUUAUCUAAAGAUCUCUGGGUGUGAACAACUUGUACCUUCUGCUCUCAGUGCCCCUGAUAUUCAUCAAUUAUCCCUAGGAGACUGUGGAAAGCUGCAAAUUGAUCAUCCGACAACUUUGAAAGAGCUUAUCAUUGAAGGUCACAACGUGGAGGCAACCUUACUGGAAGAGAUUGGACGCAAUUACUCUUGUUCAAAUAACAAUAUUCCCAUGCACAGUUGCUAUGAUUUCCUUGUAUGGUUGGGCAUCAGUGGUGGCUGCGACUCUCUAACCACCAUUCACUUAGAUAUGUUCCCAAUACUCAAGAACCUUCUUUUCCGGAACUGUCCUAAUCUACAGAGGAUUUCACAGGGGCAGGCUCAUAAUCAUCUCCAGUGGCUGAAUAUCGAUAAGUGCCCUCAAUUAGAAUCAUUACCUGAAGAAAUGCAUGUCCUCCUUCCAUCUCUUGAUUCUCUGUGGAUAGAUGAUUGUCCAAAAGUUGAAAUGUUUCCCGAAGGAGGUUUGCCAUCAAAUUUAAAAGUUAUGUGUCUCCAUGGUGGUAGUUACAAACUUAUGUCCUUAUUGAAAAGUGCCUUGGGAGGCAAUCACUCUCUGGAAAGCUUAUCUAUUGGAGGAGUGGAUGUUGAGUGUCUUCCUGACGAAGGUGUACUGCCACACUCUCUUGUUACUCUAGACAUCAGACAUUGUGAAGAUCUAAAAAGACUGGACUACAAAGGUCUCUGCCACCUCUCCUCUCUCAAGAAAUUGCGUCUUGUUGACUGCCCCAGGCUCCAAUGCUUACCAGAGGAGGGUCUGCCCAAAUCCAUUUCAACUUUGAACAUUUGGGACUGUCAGUUGCUCAAACAACGUUGCCGGGAACCCGAAGGCGAAGACUGGCCAAAGAUUGCUCACAUUAAACGCGUGUCGUUAAACGAUUGAAAGAGCUGUCAACCAGGAGCUAUGUUAGUACAGGAUUUCCAAAUUGGUUUGUACUUUGAAGAUUAAUCAAUAUUGGGGGAGUAAUAGUUUGUACGUCAAAAGUAUCAUCAGAAAUUCCAGCCACUGAAUGCCUCCAAAUAUUCUAGCUUUGAAUAAGGAAACUAGGAAAUUGGUGAAGGUCAUCAAACUCAAAUUUUCUUCUGUCCAUGGAAAAGAUACAUUGCACGAUGACCAAUGUCCUACUGGUGCCUUUGAAAGUCCUUGAGUGCAGGUGGUUAAUGAGAUGCAGAUUAGCUACUUGCUAUCCUGGGAGAUGCAUGCUUAUUCUAAAUUGUUUUAAACAUUAGUUUAUGUACAGCUAAAUUUGUAACAGGAUUAUGGGCAUUGCUUUUAUCGGGAAUUCACUGACUUAUUAAUUCCAGAGCUUACAUCAUGCAAGUACAUUUCUAAAAUUUCAAAUUUGUUUUCUUCUAAAACUAAUGAUCGUGAAUUCAUGAUACUUUUAACUUCUUUGGGGCUCUCUUCAGCUAUCUGAAUCCAUGUAAAUACUCUAUAAUUAUUUUCUAAACCCAAAUUUUA
Glycine soja is the source of this 4345-nucleotide RNA transcript. It is a transcript of the gene named putative disease resistance RPP13-like protein 1, with no coding region annotated. Lineage: Eukaryota; Viridiplantae; Streptophyta; Magnoliopsida; Fabales; Fabaceae. The transcript is spliced from 3 exons. The record is from RefSeq and is a predicted model, not a curated record.